UAUAUAAGGCUUUAUCUUAUUAGUUACGGCAGUCUUUUUCUUUUCAGGAAAGGUAAUUUUACAUUCUACACUGAAGAUGUAACAGUUAUGGAAUCUUUUGCACCAUCUGGCCUGAAUUAGGUGUUUCUCGAAUCUCUCAUGCUUGAUUACCUGCUCAUAUUUAAAAGUGGAGGCUUCAAGAGCUGCCUGGAAACUGAGUAAGUAGGUGAGGCUUGAUCAUGGUGAGAUUUCCUGUAGGGUGAGCUGCCUGGGCCUUUGGUUGGGGAAGCCCUGAUGUCAACAUCCAUGUGAGUGUAUUUGGAUCUUUCUUCUUGGGUCUGAUAGAUUCCCACCUACAAAAGACUUAUUUGGUGUUCUGCCUGGAAGUAAAUAACUGCUGCCGUCAUUCUGAGAUGAGGAGGAAGUUUUGCAUUUAGUAGGCAUACAUCAUUUACUUAACCCUCCUGUUUUUUGUUUGUUAAAACACACCCUCUGUUUUACCCUCUUCAAAGAGGAAGACUGUCUUCUGCUGGGGUGAGGGAAGGAAAUCACCCAGCAUUUGGAGGAAGAGAGGGGCAUCUAGGGAUAUAACUGCUUCUCCAACAGCUUUCAACCAACCUUCUUUCAUCUUUCACAGCCCUGCCCCUCUUUUCUAGGAGUAGUUGUGCCUUCAAUGCCUGAGCCUUGAUUAUUUGGUGGUUUAAAUUGACUUGGUUCUUGGAACCAAGGAGGAAAAAGAGUUCAAUUUUUCAUCAGUUUUACCAAGUCCAUACCACCUGUUAUCUGUUUUGUAGCUUUCAAAAAGUUGGUGCUAUUUCUUCUCAUGUUCACUGUAUCCUUAUAGGUUUAUGCUUAAGAAACAAAAACAAAAACAAAACAAAACAAAACAAAAAACCCUUUACCAUACCAUAGUUUCAGUGCAGUUUAGGAGAGAGUGAAAGUGUGUGUUCAAUUAGCCAUCUUUUUGCAAUUCUGCUUUUUUUAUGGUAUAUUUUAUAGUGUUUAGAGAUUUUUUUGCAGCUGCCUUCUUUUGGAAAAACCAAAGGCAGCAGACUCUGGGCAUGCUGAACUGGGGCUACUUGCUCCAUUUCAAUUCUUAAAUUUAGAACUAUGCCUCUGCUUCCCUCACAGACAGUCCAAUUAAAAAUAAAAACUCUCCAAAUCAAGAAUCAAGAACAGUUAUGGGACUCUGAUUGCAGAAAGCAUUUUCAAAAGCAUUUAGCAUUCAAAUAACUUACCCACUGAGAUAGACAGAACAAUGGUCUCCCAAGGAUGUUCACAUUCUAAUCCCCAGAAUCUGUAGGUCAAAUUACAUGUCAAAGGGGAAUCAAAGUAGCAGAUGGAAUUAAGGUAGCUAAUCAGCUGACUUUAAAAUAGGGAGAUUAUCCUGGGUCAUCUGCUUGGCCUAAUGUAGUCACAAGGAUCCUUAAUUGUGGACGAGGGAGACAGAAGAGUUAUUGUCAAAGUUAUAUGAUGUCAGAAAGACUUGACCAUCUCUUCCUGGCUUUAAAGAUGGAAGGAGAACAUGAGCCAAAGAAUGCGGUUAGCCUCUAGACACUGGAGCAGGAAAGGACACAGAUUCUCCCCUAGAAGCUCCUGAAGGGAACCAGCUCUGCUAACAGCUUUUUUUGGGGCGGAGGGGGGAUCAAUUUUUAUUUGGGCUCCUCACAGUGGUUAUAGUCACUCUUCCGAACAAUCUCAGCACAGGAAAUGCAUCACCAAGACUGCCUAGAAAAGUCUGACCAGUAGCACCUUACUGCUUAAAAUACACAUAUUCACAAUAACUGACAAAGGAUAAUGUGCCUCACACAGGAAUGUGUUCGCAUUUGCAAAUCUCUCAACUGGCUGUAGCAUCAAACCCUCCACUAACCCCUUCCAUCUCAUUCAGCUGGAAAACCAGUCUCAAUCACAUCUCCCGGCCCCGGAACCAAUUCCUUAUUAAAUCUCUCCCUGAGCGGGGUAGCCUCCUGUAGCGGGGGCCAGACUGCGACUUGAGAAUCAAGGCCAGCUCCACAGGUUGCAUUUCCAUCUUCUUGUGCCUUUAGGGUAGGACACUGCAAUGAAUCACACAGUUAGCACUCCACCACUUCCCCACUCUAACUGGGGAAAGGAACUUGAGAGAGUCAGAAUUCAUCCAUUUGAUCUGUUCACUGAAAAAGGAUUCAUUUUGGUAGAACUUGUUUGCCUUUGAGACACUUCAGUGAGUUAUUUGGGAUUCUU
RNAcentral lists this long non-coding RNA (2199 nucleotides) under Homo sapiens (human). RNAcentral's name for it is "HSALNT0342556". Lineage: Eukaryota; Metazoa; Chordata; Mammalia; Primates; Hominidae. The record is from RNAcentral.